GCCUGGGUGGCUCAGUCAGUUGAGCGACCGACUUCAGCUCAGGUCAUGAUCUCAUUGUGGGUUCAAGCCCCGCAUCGGGCU
Molecule: transfer RNA, 81 nt
Filed under: Felis catus (domestic cat)
Lineage: Eukaryota; Metazoa; Chordata; Mammalia; Carnivora; Felidae
Rfam family: tRNA
About the family: Transfer RNA (tRNA) molecules are approximately 80 nucleotides in length. Their secondary structure includes four short double-helical elements and three loops (D, anti-codon, and T loops).
Source: Rfam by way of RNAcentral